Molecule: non-coding RNA, 1172 nt
Organism: Salmo salar (Atlantic salmon)
Lineage: Eukaryota; Metazoa; Chordata; Actinopteri; Salmoniformes; Salmonidae
Source: RefSeq, a predicted model, not a curated record
GAUUGGUCUACGGUGUAACAUCUUGUGUCUAUAAAAUGAGCUGCUCGUUAUGCGUACAUAAUCCUUUCUACUGCAGUUGCUUUUCAAAAGAUAUUAUGUUAGCCAUGGAGAACUGCAAAUAUGUUGCUACUGCUCUCAGUAACAUUGCCGCCCUGAAUUUAUCAGGCGCUAUCGACAACGGUCAGUGAAAAAAAGUUGUGAUGGACUACUUUCUGGAGGACGAUCAUGCCAUGCUGACUCUCUCGGACUCUGAAAACUGAAUCAGACGAUGAGGAAAUCCCCGAUUUAGCAUCAGUAGAACAUGCCUGACUCUACCCCACCAGUCAUACAAGGAGAAUGUUCUAAUGCCUCCCAUCAAAAAGAGAGCUGGCCCAAGCAAGCACAGGUUACACCUGAAGCAUGAGGACUUGCAGCAAGUGGUGAACUUCAACAACUACGCAGAGGAUAAUGCAAUAGUAUUACCAGGACACCACCCAGGACACAAACUCUUUGGUGGAAAGCUGCUGCCAUCCCAUGUGACAAAAGCAGCAGUGUGGCGUCUCUACAAGGAAUCUGUCUCAGGGGGCCCCUACUGAACCAGCAAACAGUCUGGACCUUCACUUCCAAGAUCAAAGGCCACACCAAGUUUGCCCCCGACUGGUGCUUCGGCCUCAUCAAGCAGCGCUUCAGAAAGACCAGAGUGAACACUGUCUGAGAUUGCUGGUGUUGUGAAGUACAGCACUGUGAUAGGGGUCAACAUCCCACAGCUGGUUGGACUGGAGGAUGAUACGGUGCUGGUGGAAAGCUAUGGCCGGCAACAACACUUGACUUCGUACUUCAGGCCGCUGCCACAGAUCAAGCAGUACCAGCACUUCAGAUGGUCUGCCUGUACAAGCACCACCUGGACUGGACACAGCUAGACAAACUUACAGUUUUGAGAAUAUUAUAUGGACAUCACAUGCCCUGCACCAAAGUCAGGACAGAAACAUGCGUGGUUCAGAUGGACCAGUCAUUAGCACUAUCUGCAGUGCCUCUAUUCAAAUGACUCUCUCCUAACAUAUGUUGCUGCUACAAUUUUUUCUAUCCUGCUGCUCAGCCUCUUUACCCCUGAUUGUAUGCAUAUAACUACCUCGUCUAUCACUAUCUAUUGAUAUUGUUCUUGUACAUACUGUAUAUUAUUUUAUUUAUAUUGA